AGAAAAAUAAGCUAACCUAAGCUAUUAGGUUCAUACCCUAAACAUAGAAGAUUAACCUUCUUUUUUCUA
RNAcentral lists this transfer RNA (69 nucleotides) under Ujna puerana. RNAcentral describes it as "tRNA-Met". Lineage: Eukaryota; Metazoa; Arthropoda; Insecta; Hemiptera; Cicadellidae. The record is from RNAcentral.